Molecule: long non-coding RNA, 234 nt
Filed under: Gossypium barbadense (sea-island cotton)
Lineage: Eukaryota; Viridiplantae; Streptophyta; Magnoliopsida; Malvales; Malvaceae
Description: long non-coding RNA (GBAR_LNC020086)
Source: RNAcentral
AAGAAAAAAUCACUCAUGGCCCAAAAAAGAAUUUCAUAGAACUUAUAGUAAAAUCAAAAUGAAUGAUACAUACAAUCAAAAUUUUCAACUGACAUCUAUUGAUUUAAUACAACCAGGUAAAGAGGCAGACAACCAUCUGAUAUCUAUGAAGCAAAUGAACUAGCAAUAUACUAGAAAUAUCAACAAUUGCAAUCAACAAAGGCAACAGGCUCCAUUGAAGUCCCCAUUUUAAAU